This 1352-nucleotide ribosomal RNA is filed under the name uncultured bacterium. RNAcentral's name for it is "bacterial SSU rRNA". It matches the Rfam family "Bacterial small subunit ribosomal RNA", at positions 28 to 1381 of the family's 1533-position model. The record is from RNAcentral.
AUUGAACGCUGGCGGCAUGCCUUACACAUGCAAGUCGAACGGCAGCACGGAGCUUGCUCUGGUGGCGAGUGGCGAACGGGUGAGUAAUAUAUCGGAACGUACCCUAGAGUGGGGGAUAACGUAGCGAAAGUUACGCUAAUACCGCAUACGAUCUAAGGAUGAAAGUGGGGGAUCGCAAGACCUCAUGCUCGUGGAGCGGCCGAUAUCUGAUUAGCUAGUUGGUAGGGUAAAAGCCUACCAAGGCAUCGAUCAGUAGCUGGUCUGAGAGGACGACCAGCCACACUGGAACUGAGACACGGUCCAGACUCCUACGGGAGGCAGCAGUGGGGAAUUUUGGACAAUGGGCGAAAGCCUGAUCCAGCAAUGCCGCGUGAGUGAAGAAGGCCUUCGGGUUGUAAAGCUCUUUUGUCAGGGAAGAAACGGUGGGAGCUAAUAUCUCUUGCUAAUGACGGUACCUGAAGAAUAAGCACCGGCUAACUACGUGCCAGCAGCCGCGGUAAUACGUAGGGUGCAAGCGUUAAUCGGAAUUACUGGGCGUAAAGCGUGCGCAGGCGGUUUUGUAAGUCUGAUGUGAAAUCCCCGGGCUCAACCUGGGAAUUGCAUUGGAGACUGCAAGGCUAGAAUCUGGCAGAGGGGGGUAGAAUUCCACGUGUAGCAGUGAAAUGCGUAGAUAUGUGGAGGAACACCGAUGGCGAAGGCAGCCCCCUGGGUCAAGAUUGACGCUCAUGCACGAAAGCGUGGGGAGCAAACAGGAUUAGAUACCCUGGUAGUCCACGCCCUAAACGAUGUCUACUAGUUGUCGGGUCUUAAUUGACUUGGUAACGCAGCUAACGCGUGAAGUAGACCGCCUGGGGAGUACGGUCGCAAGAUUAAAACUCAAAGGAAUUGACGGGGACCCGCACAAGCGGUGGAUGAUGUGGAUUAAUUCGAUGCAACGCGAAAAACCUUACCUACCCUUGACAUGGCUGGAAUCCUUGAGAGAUCAGGGAGUGCUCGAAAGAGAACCAGUACACAGGUGCUGCAUGGCUGUCGUCAGCUCGUGUCGUGAGAUGUUGGGUUAAGUCCCGCAACGAGCGCAACCCUUGUCAUUAGUUGCUACGAAAGGGCACUCUAAUGAGACUGCCGGUGACAAACCGGAGGAAGGUGGGGAUGACGUCAAGUCCUCAUGGCCCUUAUGGGUAGGGCUUCACACGUCAUACAAUGGUACAUACAGAGCGCCGCCAACCCGCGAGGGGGAGCUAAUCGCAGAAAGUGUAUCGUAGUCCGGAUUGUAGUCUGCAACUCGACUGCAUGAAGUUGGAAUCGCUAGUAAUCGCGGAUCAGCAUGUCGCGGUGAAUAAGUUCCCGGGUCU